Molecule: long non-coding RNA, 106 nt
Organism: Myotis brandtii (Brandt's bat)
Lineage: Eukaryota; Metazoa; Chordata; Mammalia; Chiroptera; Vespertilionidae
Exons: 3
Source: RefSeq, a predicted model, not a curated record
GCAGCUAACUUUAAGUUGAUAAUUUUGUAUGGCCCUUGAAUGAUGUUAUACAUAUCCAAAUGGCUUGGCAGAGAAAAGGACCCCCACCCCUGCUCUAAGGGCAAAG